RNAcentral lists this ribosomal RNA (305 nucleotides) under uncultured bacterium. RNAcentral's name for it is "bacterial SSU rRNA". It matches the Rfam family "Bacterial small subunit ribosomal RNA", at positions 334 to 655 of the family's 1533-position model. The record is from RNAcentral.
UUUCCCUACGGGGCGCAGCAGUGGGGAAUAUUGCACAAUGGGGGAAACCCUGAUGCAGCGACGCCGCGUGAGUGAAGAAGUAUUUCGGUAUGUAAAGCUCUAUCAGCAGGGAAGAAAAAAGACGGUACCUGACUAAGAAGCCCCGGCUAACUACGUGCCAGCAGCCGCGGUAAUACGUAGGGGGCAAGCGUUAUCCGGAUUUACUGGGUGUAAAGGGAGCGUAGACGGCAGCGCAAGUCUGGAGUGAAAUCCCAUGGCUUAACCAUGGAACUGCUUUGGAAACUGUGCAGCUGGAGUGCAGGAGG